UUGGAGGGCAAGUCUGGUGCCAGCAGCCGCGGUAAUUCCAGCUCCAAUAGCGUAUAUUAAAGUUGUUGCAGUUAAAAAGCUCGUAGUUGAACUUCGGGGUUUACCCAUUGGUCAGGCUUAAUUGUCUGUACUGGUGAGAUAAAUCUCUACCUUCUGAGGAACUUUCAUGCCAUUUAGUUGGUGUGAUAGGAAAUCAGGACUGUUACUUUGAAAAAAUUAGAGUGUUUAAAGCAGGCUAACGUCUGAAUACAUUAGCAUGGAAUAAUGAAAUAGGACGGAUUGGUUCUAUUUCGUUGGUUUCUAGGAUCACCGUAAUGAUUAAUAGGGAUAGUUGGGGGCAUUAGUAUUCAAUUGUCAGAGGUGAAAUUCCUGGAUUUAUUGAAGACUAACUAUUGCGAAAGCAUUUGCCAAGGAUGUUUUCAUUAAUCAAGAACGAAAGUUAGGGGAUCGAAGACGAUCAGAUACCGUCGUAGUCUUAACCAUAAACUAUGCCGACUAGGGAUCGGACGAAGUUAAUUUUAUAAUGACGCGUUCGGCGCCUUACGGGAAAC
Molecule: ribosomal RNA, 551 nt
Filed under: uncultured Glomeromycotina
Lineage: Eukaryota; Fungi; Glomeromycota
Description: SSU rRNA
Rfam family: Eukaryotic small subunit ribosomal RNA
Source: RNAcentral